ACGUAGGGUGCAAGCGUUGUCCGGAUUUAUUGGGCGUAAAGAGCUCGUAGGCGGUUAGACACGUCGGAUGUGAAAACUGGUGGCUCAACCACCAGCCUGCAUUCGAUACGGUCUGACUUGAAUGUGGUAGGGGUAACUGGAAUUCCUGGUGUAGCGGUGAAAUGCGCAGAUAUCAGGAGGAACACCGAUGGCGAAGGCAGGUUACUGGGCCAAUAUUGACGCUGAGGAGCGAAAGCGUGGGGAGCAAACAGGAUUAGAUACCCUGGUAGUCCACGCCGUAAACGGUGGGCACUAGAUGUGGAGACCUUUCCAUGGUUUCUGCGUCGCAGCUAACGCAUUAAGUGCCCCGCCUGGGGAGUACGGCCGCAAGGCUA
RNAcentral lists this ribosomal RNA (374 nucleotides) under uncultured bacterium. RNAcentral's name for it is "bacterial SSU rRNA". It matches the Rfam family "Bacterial small subunit ribosomal RNA", at positions 525 to 896 of the family's 1533-position model. The record is from RNAcentral.